Molecule: ribosomal RNA, 495 nt
Filed under: uncultured bacterium
Lineage: Bacteria
Description: partial 16S ribosomal RNA
Rfam family: Bacterial small subunit ribosomal RNA
Source: RNAcentral
GAUGAACGCUGGCGGCGUGCCUAAUACAUGCAAGUAGAACGCUGAAGGAGGAGCUUGCUCUUCUGGAUGAGUUGCGAACGGGUGAGUAACGCGUAGGUAACCUGCCUGGUAGCGGGGGAUAACUAUUGGAAACGAUAGCUAAUACCGCAUGACAACAGUUAUUGCAUGAUAACUGUUUAAAAGGGGCAACUGCUCCACUACCAGAUGGACCUGCGUUGUAUUAGCUAGUUGGUGAGGUAACGGCUCACCAAGGCGACGAUACAUAGCCGACCUGAGAGGGGGAUCGGCCACACUGGGACUGAGACACGGCCCAGACUCCUACGGGAGGCAGCAGUAGGGAAUCUUCGGCAAUGGACGGAAGUCUGACCGAGCAACGCCGCGUGAGUGAAGAAGGGUUUCGGAUCGUAAAGCUCUGUUGUAAGAGAAGAACGGGUGUGAGAGUGGAAAGUUCACACUGUGACGGUAGCUUACCAGAAAGGGACGGCUAACUACGUG